UACACAACAUACAGUCUACAAGUUUACAUA
Molecule: small RNA, 30 nt
Filed under: Bombyx mori (domestic silkworm)
Lineage: Eukaryota; Metazoa; Arthropoda; Insecta; Lepidoptera; Bombycidae
Description: ovarian small RNA-20173
Source: RNAcentral